GAGAGGUAAUGGCUCACCAAGGCAUCGACGGGUAGCUGGUCUGAGAGGAUGAUCAGCCACACUGGGACUGAGACACGGCCCAGACUCCUACGGGAGGCAGCAGUGGGGAAUCUUGCACAAUGGGCGAAAGCCUGAUGCAGCAACGCCGCGUGCGGGAAGACGGCCUUAGGGUUGUAAACCGCUUUCAGCAGGGAAGAAAAUGACGGUACCUGCAGAAGAAGAUGCGGCCAACUACGUGCCAGCAGCCGCGGUGACACGUAGGCAUCAAGCGUUAUCCGGAUUUAUUGGGCGUAAAGAGCUCGUAGGCGGUUCGGUAAGUCGGGUGUGAAAACUCUGGGCUCAACCCAGAGAGGCCACUCGAUACUGCUGUGACUAGAGUGCGGUAGGGGAGCGGGGAAUUCCUGGUGUAGCGGUGAAAUGCGCAGAUAUCAGGAGGAACACCAGUGGCGAAGGCGCCGCUCUGGGCCGUAACUGACGCUGAGGAGCGAAAGCAUGGGUAGCAAACAGGAUUAGAUACCCUGGUAGCCCAUGCCGUAAACGUUGGGCACUAGGUGUGGGUCUCAACCAACGAGAUCCGCGCCGUCGCUAACGCAUUAAGUG
This 600-nucleotide ribosomal RNA is filed under the name uncultured Actinomycetes bacterium. RNAcentral's name for it is "bacterial SSU rRNA". It matches the Rfam family "Bacterial small subunit ribosomal RNA", at positions 252 to 866 of the family's 1533-position model. Lineage: Bacteria; Bacillati; Actinomycetota; Actinomycetes. The record is from RNAcentral.